AUUGAACGCUGGCGGCAUGGCUAAAGCAUGCAAGUCGAACGGACCCGCAAGGGUCAGUGGCGAAAGGGUCAGUAAUACGAUCGAACGUGCCCUGGGGUGUGGGAUAGCCGCGGGAAACUGCGGGUAAUACCACAUGUGCUCUACGGGAGGAAGGCCGCAAGGCGCCCCGGGAGCGGCGAUCGUCCUAUCAGGUAGUUGGCGGGGUAACGGCCCACCAAGCCGAAGACGGGUAGCGGGUGGNGAGAGCACGGCCCGCGACAUCGGGACUGAGACACUGCCCGGACUCCUACGGGAGGCUGCAGCGACGAAUCUUCCGCAAUGGGCGAAAGCCUGACGGAGCAAUGCCGCGUGCGGGAUGAAGCGGCUACGCCGUGUAAACCGCUGUCAGGGGGCAGAAACACUGAUCGCCCCCAGAGGAAGAGACGGCUAACUCUGUGCCAGCAGCCGCAGUAAC
This 454-nucleotide ribosomal RNA is filed under the name uncultured bacterium. Its description in RNAcentral is "bacterial SSU rRNA". It matches the Rfam family "Bacterial small subunit ribosomal RNA", at positions 29 to 524 of the family's 1533-position model. The record is from RNAcentral.